CACACCCUUCGCCUCCAUCCUGGGGUAUUGCCUUUUCCUCAGCAGUCCCAUGCUGGUUCUGGUAUGCACCGAGUCUUCUGACUCCACAGUUGCUUCUGAUGGCGCCGGAAGCACCCCAGAGCCAAGAAGGGGGCUUGCUUUUAUCGAUGCUGGUUUUAUACCGCCUGACCCAGGUGGCUUGAGGCGGUUCACAUGAGUAGAGGUAAAACAACCCAUUAAGACAAUUAAAAGUUACAUGCGUUUGAAAGUCGCUGGAAGGUCAGGCUAAAAAAAAAAGUGUCUUCAGGGCUCUUUUAAAGGCGGCUAAUGAUGUUAAGCUCCAAAGAGCACAUUCCACUGCCCAGGAGCAUCACUAGAGAGAGGCCUGAUCCCAAAUUGCUGCCAGGUGAGCUGGCGGUAACUGGAAACCACCCUCUCUAUGACCUCUAUGACUGUGCAGUGGGAAUCAUGCUGAGGAAGGCGUUCUCCCAGGUAACCUGGUCCUAGGCCUUUUAGGCCUUUAAAGGGAAUCACCAGCAGUGUUUUGCCUGGAAACAUAUUGGCAGCCAGUGCAACUGUUUCAAAAGGGGCAUCAUACGGUCUCUCCGAAAAACCCCAGGAGGCCCAUCUGGCUGCUGCAUUUGGAACAAGCUGAAGUUUCCGUACAUAUUUUUUAUUAUGUAUUUAUUGCAUUUCUAUCCCGCUCUUCCUCUAAGGAACCGAAAGCAGUGUACAUGAUUGUUUAUCCUCACAACAACUCUGUGAUGGAGGUUAGGCUGAGAGAGACACGCGACUGGCCCAGAGUCACCCACGCCAGUUCCAGGUGUCUUUUAUCCAGUUCCUCCUGCCCCCCUCCAAGACUGAACUCCGUAGACAGUUCUCAGAAGGUGACGCAGAUCCGGCGGCUUGUGAUGUGGUUGCGGUGGAUGGCGUGUUUCCAUCGGUUGCGAGCAGGUCCGUACAGAACCACCAGUGACCUCGGAGGUAAGUGAAUUGUGACGGUGGCCUCCUUGGAGGGAACUGACCUUGUGGGAGGAGAGACGGCGGUACCGUGCCCAUCGGCACUUCCGGGUCUCUCUGUGGGAGCAAAGCCAUUGAGAUGAUAGUCCUGAGAAACUGUCGGCAAUUCAGAGGUGGGUGUCUGCUGAAGACAGGUGGAGAAUAACUGGAGACUCUCCUCUGAGUCGUAAGACAUGGAAAGCACAGUGGCCGAUAGCAAGUUUAAGCUAACCAGGUGCUCACCCCAGAGCCACCAGUCGUCCAAGUGGGGGUCGAUGGCUGCUCCUCUCUCGGGCCCGUAGUCCAAGUGGCACUGCUCGAUGGGAGAGAAGCCCUCGAGGAUGGAGUGGCCCUUCAUCCGCCUCACCAGCUCCUGGCUGAAACUGGGCAAGCCAGUAAAACCUCCUGCUUUCAGCUUUCGCUUCUUGAAGUUCACUUUGGGGCCAUAGUCCUGUUGGAAAGAGAGAGGAGGACGGGGAUGAAGACGGCAAUCUCUGAAGUUCAAUUCCUACCACAGCCAUGAACUCACUAGGUGGGGCCUUUUUGGUAGUAGCCCCCUGGCUAGGUUAUUUUAUGAUUAAUGUGUAAUUUUAUGCUGGUCUCUGACCGUAAUAAAGGCUUUUGUAUGUA
Long non-coding RNA from Hemicordylus capensis (graceful crag lizard), 1608 nucleotides. RefSeq lists it as uncharacterized. The transcript is spliced from 2 exons. The record is from RefSeq and is a predicted model, not a curated record. Lineage: Eukaryota; Metazoa; Chordata; Lepidosauria; Squamata; Cordylidae.